RNAcentral lists this ribosomal RNA (372 nucleotides) under uncultured organism. Its description in RNAcentral is "partial 16S ribosomal RNA". It matches the Rfam family "Bacterial small subunit ribosomal RNA", at positions 527 to 896 of the family's 1533-position model. The record is from RNAcentral.
GUAGGUGGCAAGCGUUGUCCGGAAUUAUUGGGCGUAAAGCGCGCGCAGGCGGUUCUUUAAGUCUGAUGUGAAAGCCCACGGCUCAACCGUGGAGGGUCAUUGGAAACUGGGGGACUUGAGUACAGAAGAGGAAAGCGGAAUUCCAAGUGUAGCGGUGAAAUGCGUAGAGAUUUGGAGGAACACCAGUGGCGAAGGCGGCUUUCUGGUCUGUAACUGACGCUGAGGCGCGAAAGCGUGGGGAGCAAACAGGGAUUAGAUACCCUGGUAGUCCACGCCGUAAACGAUGAGUGCUAAGUGUUAGGGGGUUUCCGCCCCCUUAGUGCUGCAGCUAACGCAUUAAGCACUCCGCCUGGGGAUACGGCCGCAAGGCUG